CCAGGCAGCGGCAAGUGUCGACCCUGACAUGAGCAAGGGUGUGGCCAGGAGGUUGAUCAUCUUUGAUGAUCCACAGCUCCACUACAACUGCCUUCUGGAGUCACUUAUCACUGCUGUCAUUGGCCUCAACCCAACUACUGGUGAAGCUCCUGAGAACAAGUGACUGUUACUGUGGCAUGGUGGCCACACUUAGUCAUAGGUGGACAUCUGUAGUUAGCCCCUCCAAGGCUCAGAAGAGGAACACAGGAAGAAGGAAGGUGUUAUGUAACAGUUUCCUCAGAGAUUAAAACCUUCCAUCCUGCAGGAAGCUCCUUAAGCAGGAAGUAAACACCUCAAAAUAGCUCCAGGAAGUCCCUGAAACUGACCAGAUUCACUAGGCCCCUCCUGCCAGAGUAAGCAAUAAAAACGGAGUGUCCCCUCUGUGACCAGCAGAAGGGACCAGCGAAGAAGACUCCAAGACAAGGUCGGCUGCCUGGAUGUGGAAACCAGCUGAGCUGCCUGGAAGAGAUUUCGAGCAGUCACUUGGAAAGGACGCUCUCCAACCUGUUGAGUCUGCAGGCUGUGCAGUGCGCUCCAGGCUCCCAGACUGGUGAGCUGUCACCCAUGCCGAGGUGGGCUUUGGUGAUGCAGCUGCCUUUGAGUUGUUUCUUUUCCUGUAAGUUAACCCCUCACCGGUAUUCCUGCAAGUAACCCCAAUAAAACUCAGCAGUUGACCAGG
Molecule: long non-coding RNA, 718 nt
Organism: Peromyscus californicus insignis
Lineage: Eukaryota; Metazoa; Chordata; Mammalia; Rodentia; Cricetidae
Exons: 2
Source: RefSeq, a predicted model, not a curated record